Molecule: long non-coding RNA, 2476 nt
Filed under: Triticum aestivum (bread wheat)
Lineage: Eukaryota; Viridiplantae; Streptophyta; Magnoliopsida; Poales; Poaceae
Description: long non-coding RNA (TAES_LNC006150)
Source: RNAcentral
UUGUUUCUGUAUGUUCGUGUGAUGUAGAUGCAGGUGCUUAUUUCAGUCCUUGCUCUAAAUUUCCUUUGCCCUGGUCGGUUGAUUUUGCUCGUCUGUGUGAUGUAGAAGUCGGCGGUAAUGGUCAAUCCUUGCUCCUUGCUCUGAAUUUGGUUCACCAGUCAUUUUUUAUUCUGAUGGCCGUUGUGAUGUGGAUGCAUGUCCUAAUUGUCAAUCCUUGAUCUGAAUUUAGGUUCAAGUGAUGUAGAGAUGUAGUUGUAAUUUAGGCAAACCUCCCUCGUCUGAAGUCGGGUCCUUAGUCAUGUGAAUGUUCUUAUUCAUUCUGUUUUGGUUCUGUAUGUAUUUGGUGGUUUGUGUUGUAUCUUCAGCUAUUUUUUGUUCAUGAAUUUCUCUGCCCUAGUACUUCUAUAAUGAGGUGUUGGUACUUUAGAUGCUAUCUCCUUAUUAGGUUGUGUAAUUUUCAGUUUUGGUGUUGUGCAAUUUCAGUUUUUCACUCAUUCUGUAGUAUGGUUUGGUACAGUCAUGUCAGUGUUGUUGUAUCCUCAUAUAUUUGAUGCUUAGGGUUUUGUGUGUGUUAUAUUUCAGGAUCAUGACGAGAAUGAACUUCUCUUUCAUGUAAUGGUUUAGAUGAGUCACGGUCCUGUUCGCUGCCAGUCUUUUUCCCUUCCCGACUAGAUGAAUAAAAUAUUAAUUCCAUUCGGGCAGGUGAGGAAGGGCGGCGUCGGCUUGACCAUGUCUUCUGUCUUAGUCGUUUCGGAGACUAAGUUUCUCAUUCAAUGGUGAGGUGUUUAUAGAAAGCAAGGCCUCGCUCGACGAGUCAUGUAGUCAUAGGUUUGAGUUCCCUAAUCAGUAGUGUAAGUUCCACAAGUAAGUAGUGUAACUUCCAUUUGAAUUCCAUUAGUUUGCAACGUUUUUGAAUUUGUAUCACACUGGUGAGUUUCCUAGUUUUUUAGUACUGCAAGUUCCAUAGGCAAGUAUUGGAAGCUUCCUAGUUUUGCAAUGCCCACUUGCACUUUUAGAACCUAACAUUUUGGGUUUCUCUUUGUUGGAUUUGUAUUGAAUCCAGUUUACCAUUUGAAAGUCUAAAUGGAUAUUACUGAAACUAAAGUGUAAUCACAAUGUUCUAAUCUCUUAAAUGCAUGUGUUUUUAUUAGAAAUCUGGUGUAAUUUUACUGAAAUUUGUACUGUGAGCACAAUGUAUGUUUCAGUGAAAUUUUAGUGGAAUUAUUAUGUGCAUUUUCAGUGGAAUUAUAGUGCUUUUGAAUUGUAAUUACAGUGGGGAUUUCAGUGUAAUUACAGUGAGUAUUUUAGAGUAAUCACAUUAUCUUUUUAGUUAAUUUACCCCUCAGGAUGUUGGGUUUUGUCAUUGUUGAUGCAUUCACUUUAGAACAAUUUAUUUUCUUUUGUUAGGGUUAUUGGUAUACUCGUACUUUAUUUCUGCCCAUUUGUGUAAGCAACCUUAGUUGUGCACAUGAUUUUCUAGUAUAUGUAAUUUCAGCAAUUUGGUAACUAUAUUUUCAGUGUUUUUAGGCUUAUAGCUACUAUAAUUUACUACUUUGGAAAUGCUCUUUUUUUGCACUGCACAUGCUAAAUUUGUGGUUAUUCUAUGUCCCCAGUGCUUUUAUGCAAACUGACCAGUUUAGUGCCGUGGAAUAGAUAGAUUAUGUGAUCUCUGCAAAAUUUCUGGUGAUUUUGCAGGUGCUUAGGGUUUAGGGUUUCCAUACUCCAAUAGCCUAUCUGAUUUGGUGUUGUUCCCUUGUUAUUUCUUUCCACCGGCUCUCCAUGUACUAACAGUUCCAGAGCUCCUGAACUGUUAGAUAUUGUUGUACUGUUCUUCUUCAUAUAAUAAAGAUUGGCCAAUGGCCCUUCGAGAUUUUGCAGGUGCUCAAAGAUGUGCAAUUAACUAGGAGUUGAAAGUGAAGCUACCGUUGACAUGUCAAGUGCUCAAAUAAUGUGUAUUUUCUCUAGUGUAUUUUCAUUGUGUUCUUUGCAGUCAAUGUGUAAUUACAGUGCAUUUCAGUAGAGUUACAGUGCUUUUUAUUUGUAACUAGAAUGGAAUUUCAGUGCAAUUACAGUGGGGAUUUUAGUGGAUUUUCUAGAGUAAUCGCAGUUUACGUCACAAUGUAAUUACGGUGAAUUUUUAGUCUCACUACAGUGGGCAUUUAAGAGGAUUUUGAGAGAUAUUAUACUGCAUUUCGUUGUAUUUUUCGCAGUCAAAUUGAACUGCAAUUACAUUGUCUUUUACAGUGUAAGUACAAUGUUUUUCAGUGUAAUUACAAUGUAUGUUCAGAGUAAUUACAGUGUAUGUAAUUUUUCAGUGGAUAUUCAGAGUAACACACUGUAUGUAAUUACUGUGAAUUUUCAAUGUAAUUACAAUGGGCAUUUAAGUGGAAUUUCAGAGUUAUUAAACUGUAUUUCCAGUGUAUCUUUGUAGUUAAAUUGAACUGUGAUUACACUGUUUUUUAUAGAGUAAGUGUUG